Molecule: ribosomal RNA, 485 nt
Filed under: Gemmatimonadota bacterium
Lineage: Bacteria; Pseudomonadati; Gemmatimonadota
Description: bacterial SSU rRNA
Rfam family: Bacterial small subunit ribosomal RNA
Source: RNAcentral
UGUCGUCAGCUCGUGUCGUGAGAUGUUGGGUUAAGUCCCGCAACGAGCGCAACCCUUGCCCUAUGUUGCCAGCGGAUCAUGCCGGGGACUCAUGGGGGACUGCCGGUGAUAAACCGGAGGAAGGUGGGGAUGACGUCAAGUCAUCAUGGCCCUUAUGUCCAGGGCGACACACGUGCUACAAUGGCCGACACAAAGGGCAGCAAUACCGCGAGGUGGAGCGAAUCCCAAAAAGUCGGUCCAAGUUCGGAUUGGAGUCUGCAACUCGACUCCAUGAAGCCGGAAUCGCUAGUAAUCGUAGGUCAGCCAUACUACGGUGAAUACGUUCCCGGGCCUUGUACACACCGCCCGUCAAGCGAUGGAAGCUGGGGGUACCCGAAGCCGGUGGCCUAACCUUCGGGAGGGAGCCGUCGAAGGUAAACUCAGUGACUGGCGCUAAGUCGUAACAAGGUAGCCGUAGGGGAACCUGCGGCUGGAUCACCUCCUUU